Molecule: ribosomal RNA, 873 nt
Filed under: Acinetobacter baumannii
Lineage: Bacteria; Pseudomonadati; Pseudomonadota; Gammaproteobacteria; Moraxellales; Moraxellaceae
Description: bacterial SSU rRNA
Rfam family: Bacterial small subunit ribosomal RNA
Source: RNAcentral
UAACUGAAGAGUUUGAUCAUGGCUCAGAUUGAACGCUGGCGGCAGGCUUAACACAUGCAAGUCGAGCGGGGGAAGGUAGCUUGCUACUGGACCUAGCGGCGGACGGGUGAGUAAUGCUUAGGAAUCUGCCUAUUAGUGGGGGACAACAUCUCGAAAGGGAUGCUAAUACCGCAUACGUCCUACGGGAGAAAGCAGGGGAUCUUCGGACCUUGCGCUAAUAGAUGAGCCUAAGUCGGAUUAGCUAGUUGGUGGGGUAAAGGCCUACCAAGGCGACGAUCUGUAGCGGGUCUGAGAGGAUGAUCCGCCACACUGGGACUGAGACACGGCCCAGACUCCUACGGGAGGCAGCAGUGGGGAAUAUUGGACAAUGGGGGGAACCCUGAUCCAGCCAUGCCGCGUGUGUGAAGAAGGCCUUAUGGUUGUAAAGCACUUUAAGCGAGGAGGAGGCUACUUUAGUUAAUACCUAGAGAUAGUGGACGUUACUCGCAGAAUAAGCACCGGCUAACUCUGUGCCAGCAGCCGCGGUAAUACAGAGGGUGCGAGCGUUAAUCGGAUUUACUGGGCGUAAAGCGUGCGUAGGCGGCUUAUUAAGUCGGAUGUGAAAUCCCCGAGCUUAACUUGGGAAUUGCAUUCGAUACUGGUGAGCUAGAGUAUGGGAGAGGAUGGUAGAAUUCCAGGUGUAGCGGUGAAAUGCGUAGAGAUCUGGAGGAAUACCGAUGGCGAAGGCAGCCAUCUGGCCUAAUACUGACGCUGAGGUACGAAAGCAUGGGGAGCAAACAGGAUUAGAUACCCUGGUAGUCCAUGCCGUAAACGAUGUCUACUAGCCGUUGGGGCCUUUGAGGCUUUAGUGGCGCAGCUAACGCGAUAAGUAGA